UUCUAACGUGGACCCGUAAUCCGGGUUGCGGACAGUGUCUGGUGGGUAGUUUGACUGGGGCGGUCUCCUCCUAAAGAGUAACGGAGGAGCACGAAGGUUGGCUAAUCCUGGUCGGACAUCAGGAGGUUAGUGCAAUGGCAUAAGCCAGCUUGACUGCGAGCGUGACGGCGCGAGCAGGUGCGAAAGCAGGUCAUAGUGAUCCGGUGGUUCUGAAUGGAAGGGCCAUCGCUCAACGGAUAAAAGGUACUCCGGGGAUAACAGGCUGAUACCGCCCAAGAGUUCAUAUCGACGGCGGUGUUUGGCACCUCGAUGUCGGCUCAUCACAUCCUGGGGCUGAAGUAGGUCCCAAGGGUAUGGCUGUUCGCCAUUUAAAGUGGUACGCGAGCUGGGUUUAGAACGUCGUGAGACAGUUCGGUCCCUAUCUGCCGUGGGCGCUGGAGAACUGAGGGGGGCUGCUCCUAGUACGAGAGGACCGGAGUGGACGCAUCACUGGUGUUCGGGUUGUCAUGCCAAUGGCACUGCCCGGUAGCUAAAUGCGGAAGAGAUAAGUGCUGAAAGCAUCUAAGCACGAAACUUGCCCCGAGAUGAGUUCUCCCUGAGACUUAGAGUCUCCUGAAGGAACGUUGAAGACGACGACGUUGAUAGGCCGGGUGUGUAAGCGCAGCGAUGCGUUGAGCUAACCGGUACUAAUGAACCGUGAGGCUUAACCUU
This 711-nucleotide ribosomal RNA is filed under the name Salmonella enterica subsp. enterica serovar Thompson. Its description in RNAcentral is "partial 23S ribosomal RNA". It matches the Rfam family "Bacterial large subunit ribosomal RNA", at positions 2220 to 2925 of the family's 2925-position model. Lineage: Bacteria; Pseudomonadati; Pseudomonadota; Gammaproteobacteria; Enterobacterales; Enterobacteriaceae. The record is from RNAcentral. RNAcentral also lists the same sequence under 5 other names.